RNAcentral lists this ribosomal RNA (468 nucleotides) under uncultured bacterium. RNAcentral's name for it is "partial 16S ribosomal RNA". It matches the Rfam family "Bacterial small subunit ribosomal RNA", at positions 28 to 507 of the family's 1533-position model. The record is from RNAcentral.
GACGAACGCUGGCGGCGUGCUUAACACAUGCAAGUCGAACGGAAAGGCCCUGCUUUUGUGGGGUGCUCGGGUGGCGAACGGGUGAGUAACACGUGAGUAACCUGCCCUUGACUUUGGGAUAACUUCAGGAAACUGGGGCUAAUACCGGAUAGGAGCUCCUGCUGCAUGGUGGGGGUUGGAAAGUUUCGGCGGUUGGGGAUGGACUCGCGGCUUAUCAGCUUGUUGGUGGGGUAGUGGCUUACCAAGGCUUUGACGGGUAGCCGGCCUGAGAGGGUGACCGGCCACAUUGGGACUGAGAUACGGCGCAGACGCCUACGGGAGGUAGCAGUGGGGAGUAUUGCACAGUGAGCGGAAGCCUGAUGCAGCAGCGCCGCGUGCGGGAUGACGGCCUUCGGGUUGUAAACCGCUUUCGCCUGUGACGAAGCGUGAGUGACGGUAAUGGGUAAAGAAGCACCGGCUAACUACGUG